Molecule: transfer RNA, 57 nt
Filed under: Dipodomys ordii (Ord's kangaroo rat)
Lineage: Eukaryota; Metazoa; Chordata; Mammalia; Rodentia; Heteromyidae
Rfam family: tRNA
About the family: Transfer RNA (tRNA) molecules are approximately 80 nucleotides in length. Their secondary structure includes four short double-helical elements and three loops (D, anti-codon, and T loops). Further hydrogen bonds mediate the characteristic L-shaped molecular structure. tRNAs have two regions of fundamental functional importance: the anti-codon, which is responsible for specific mRNA codon recognition, and the 3' end, to which the tRNAs corresponding amino acid is attached (by aminoacyl-tRNA synthetases). tRNAs cope with the degeneracy of the genetic code in two manners: having more than one tRNA (with a specific anti-codon) for a particular amino acid; and 'wobble' base-pairing, i.e. permitting non-standard base-pairing at the 3rd anti-codon position.
Source: Rfam by way of RNAcentral
UGGGAGGUGGCUCAGUGGUAGAGCACUUGCCUUGCAUGCCUGAGGCCCUGGGUUCAA